Molecule: ribosomal RNA, 274 nt
Filed under: uncultured bacterium
Lineage: Bacteria
Description: partial 16S ribosomal RNA
Rfam family: Archaeal small subunit ribosomal RNA
Source: RNAcentral
AAACCAGCACCUCAAGUGGUCAGGAUGAUUAUUGGGCCUAAAGCAUCCGUAGCCUGUUCUAUAAGUUUCCGGUUAAAUCCACUAGCUCAACUAGUGGGCUGCCGAAAAUACUGUAGAACUAGGGAGUGGGAGAGGUAGACGGUAUUCGGUAGGAAGGGGUAAAAUCCUUUGAUCUAUUGAGGACCACCUGUGGCGAAGGCGGUCUACCAGAACACGUUCGACGGUGAGGGAUGAAAGCUGGGGGAGCAAACCGGAUUAGAAACCCUGGUAGUCC